UGCUCACCCAUCCAUCCAGAUUCCAGGCCAAGGUUAACGAGCUAGGGUUUGGUUCCUUUCACAAUUUUCUGAAAUCGUAACUAGAUAGAGCAAUGGCAGGAUCAGGAUUUCUCAAGUUUCUCAGCCCUGCCCGCCGUCCUCAACCUGCCGAAAUUCAGGCAGUCACCAUGUGGGGUGUCACCGCCGGAACCACUGCUCUUUGGAUCGUCCAGCCAUUUGACUGGAUAAGGAAAACAUUUUUCGAGAAACCCGAGCCUGAAGUGAAGUGAUUAUUGUAAAACCCCAGCAGCAGCAGGAGGUAAAAACCAACCAUUGAUAUUCGUUUGAUUGAAGAUUGGGUCUUAAUUAAAAGUUGAGUUCAAUAAUGGAGAUUGAUUUAUUUCCUGUUGUUUCAGCACACACUGAUGAAUAAUGAAUUAAUGUUAUAUAACCCUUUUUUUUUAUGUGAUUUUGAAUGAAACAUAAAACAAUCAGUUUGAUA
Molecule: long non-coding RNA, 481 nt
Organism: Impatiens glandulifera
Lineage: Eukaryota; Viridiplantae; Streptophyta; Magnoliopsida; Ericales; Balsaminaceae
Exons: 2
Source: RefSeq, a predicted model, not a curated record